RNAcentral lists this ribosomal RNA (513 nucleotides) under uncultured bacterium. RNAcentral's name for it is "partial 16S ribosomal RNA". It matches the Rfam family "Bacterial small subunit ribosomal RNA", at positions 28 to 507 of the family's 1533-position model. The record is from RNAcentral.
GACGAACGCUGGCGGCGUGCUUAACACAUGCAAGUCGAACGAAAAGAGGGAAAGAGCUUGCUCUUUCCGGAAUUGAGUGGCAAACGGGUGAGUAACACGUAAACAACCUGCCUUCAGGAUGGGGACAACAGACGGAAACGACUGCUAAUACCGAAUAAGUUCCAAGAGCCGCAUGGCCCAUGGAAGAAAAGGUGGCCUCUACCUGUAAGCUAUCGCCUGAAGAGGGGUUUGCGUCUGAUUAGCUGGUUGGAGGGGUAACGGCCCACCAAGGCGACGAUCAGUAGCCGGUCAGAGAGGAUGAACGGCCACACUGGAACUGAGACACGUGCCAGACUCCUACGGGAGGCAGCAGUGGGGAAUCUUCCGCAAUGGGCGAAAGCCUGACGGAGCAACGCCGCGGGAGUGAUGACGGCCUUCGGGUUGUAAAACUCUGUGAUCCGGGACGAAAAGGCAGAGUGCGAAGAACAAACUGCAUUGACGGUACCGGAAAAGCAAGCCACGGCUAACUACGUG